GUAUGGGUUUGGAUUUAUGGCAGAACCAUCCUCCUGGCCUCUCAUAGCAUCCCAGGCCAGAGCAAACUGUGGCUCUGAACCACUGUCUGGCCUCUGCCUGGAGGCUAGUGGCACUGAAAUGGGUUGCACAGUG
This 133-nucleotide small nucleolar RNA is filed under the name Castor canadensis (American beaver). RNAcentral describes it as "Small nucleolar RNA SNORA42/SNORA80 family (ENSCCNG00000030504.1)". It matches the Rfam family "Small nucleolar RNA SNORA42/SNORA80 family". From Rfam's summary of the family: The members of this family belong to the H/ACA class of snoRNAs that guide the sites of modification of uridines to pseudouridines. The record is from Rfam by way of RNAcentral. Lineage: Eukaryota; Metazoa; Chordata; Mammalia; Rodentia; Castoridae.